CUGAGUCCUGGUCGUCCUGUCAGUUCACUUCGUUUGCUCGUCGAAAGCUGUGCACGCUGCGGAAGCGACGGCAUUAGCAUCGCUCGUUGCCCAUUAGCAACAACAACACAACGACCAUUGACAUACCAUUCAACACAGCAACAACAAUUGGAUUUGAAGUUGGGGGAUUCCGGCGGCAAAAGUGCGUUUGAAAUUACCAAAGUUGCCCCAAUUAAAGGGUGCAGCGCGACUGCCAAGUUCAAGUUGGGUGUUUUGCCGUGGCUCCCACGGACGUGUUAUCCUUGCGAACGCCUUGGUGCUCGCGAAAACUGGUGCGUGGCGGGCGUUAAAUUCGCCAGUGACUCCGCGUCAAGUCAACUGUUUCUGAGAACCACUGCGAGUGCGAAGACUGCUUGCAGUCAACGGUGGCUAAAAGUAAAAGCGGAAACGUAAGCCAACCCGAAACGCCCGAGCGCAAGAGCUAUUGAGAAUCCGGGAAUUCGAGAACAGGAAUCGGUAGUGACAACUGUGAAAUGUGCGACUGCAUUGUCGUUUUGCCACCACUUUGACCCAAAUCGCAUUGCAUUCGAGUUGUGCCGGAGUGCGGGUUCUGCGGACGCAUGCCUGAUGGCUUAGUCCGAGCCGUGCAUGAUCGAUAAGCCCCAAUCGAAGCUCGCGAGUGCCCGACAGCUAGACACAAGAAUAGCAGAUCCACAAGCGACUGGAAUCCGCAUCCGCAUCCGAAUCCGCUCCAGCAUCCGUUCCGGGCUCAGCCGCACUUGGAAAGUGAUUCACAGUUGGCCGUUUCUCGCUAGUAGCGACGCACUCAGUGAGGACGCAUUGGAGUUGUAGUGGCUGCUAACCACGCGGGAAGAGGGAGCCGCGCAGCGGAAGGACCCUCGGAGGACACAGGACAUCACGUUGAAGGCGAUUCAUCAUCGGCGCCACGCUUCCGACAUUGUUCUUCGCAGGAGGCGGCAAGGAGGCAAGGAGGCAGAACAUCCUCUAGAGCAAAUUGAAUGUAAUUUCAUAAAAAGGCGAGUGUUAAUUUUUUGCCAGCCACACAAUACAAGAUAGAUACAGCCAGGGUUACACGGACCCCGACGUGGCUUAAUGUGCUAACACGCAGUGACAUGAAAAAUGAUGAAGACCGUGCUGCUUUUUUCCGCACCGACUCAAUAGACUCAAUAGCGAGGGAAGUCUCGAGGAAGGAGCUGCAAAUUUGCGAGCAGUGCGAGAGGCGGCAACGAGCAUUGUGACUCGACUCGCAGGACAACAGCGCAUUGACAGGCGACGCAAAAACGGAGCUGGCAAAAAGGCUGAGCUGCACAUCGCCAUCGGACCAGCAUCAUUUAUCAGCGACGCAUCGCAUCGCAUCAACUAGCA
This is a long non-coding RNA of Drosophila erecta, 1365 nucleotides long. RefSeq lists it as uncharacterized. The transcript is spliced from 3 exons. Lineage: Eukaryota; Metazoa; Arthropoda; Insecta; Diptera; Drosophilidae. The record is from RefSeq and is a predicted model, not a curated record.